RNAcentral lists this ribosomal RNA (514 nucleotides) under uncultured bacterium. RNAcentral's name for it is "partial 16S ribosomal RNA". It matches the Rfam family "Bacterial small subunit ribosomal RNA", at positions 28 to 523 of the family's 1533-position model. The record is from RNAcentral.
GAUGAACGCUGGCGGCGUGCCUAAUACAUGCAAGUCGAUCGCGAGAAUGAGGAGCUUGCUCCUCAUAAUCGAGCGGCGGACGGGUGAGUAACACGUAGGCAACCUACCCUUGAGAUUGGGAUAACUACCGGAAACGGUAGCUAAUACCGGAUACGACUUUUCCACACAAGUGGAACAGUUAAAAGGCGGAUUUAUCUGCCGCUCCUGGACGGGCCUGCGGUGCAUUAGCUAGUUGGUGAGGUAGUGGCUCACCAAGGCAACGAUGCAUAGCCGACCUGAGAGGGUGAUCGGCCACAGUGGGACUGAGACACGGCCCAGACUCCUACGGGAGGCAGCAGUAGGGAAUCUUCCGCAAUGGACGCAAGUCUGACGGAGCAACGCCGCGUGAGUGAUGAAGGGUUUCGGCUCGUAAAACUCUGUUGUUAAGGAAGAACACUUGAGGUAGUAACUGGCCUUGAGAUGACGGUACUUAACCAGAAAGCCACGGCUAACUACGUGCCAGCCGCCGCAGUAA